AGAGAGCACAGGCCGGAGCCUGGAGCUGGGGAGCAGAGACAGAGCACAGGCCGGAGCCCGGAACUGGGGAGCAAGGAAAGAGCACGGGCUGGAGCCCAGACCGGGGAGCAGAGAAAGGAAUGAAAGUGCUCCAGCUAAGUUUGUGGAUGACCGGUUAAAAUCCUAGAAUUCCUGCAAUGUGGAACGAAGCCAUUCAGCACAUCAAGUCUGCACUGACCCUCUGAAGAACAUCCUACCCAGACUCAAUCCCCAUAUCCCUGGAACGAUACAUUUCCCUUGGCCACCGAGCCUACAUAUCCUUAGAUUCUGUGGGGCAAUUUAGCAUGGCCAAUUCACCCAACCUGUGCAUUUAUGGAUUGGCUAGGAACAGUGUAGAGGAGCUUUAUUAUCAGUUUAAAUGUAAAAGUUUACUGUUAAUUUAGUAAAGUGCUCAGUGUCACUCAUUAUCUGCAUUGAUUUACCUUCUUAAUUUGAAGCGUAAGUAAAUACCUUCCAUUUGAGAUAAGAAACAGAAUAUCCAGUGGGGUUUGGUUCUACUUGUCAAUGUUCAAAGGAGAAUUCUCAUGACUGUUCUGACGUUACACCACCUUCGUUGUACAUUCUAUGUAAACAUUCUCUAUGUGCUAUUGCUACUCUUUUAAUAUCCAUUCAUUUCCUGAAGCCCCAUUUUUUGAUGAUUCCUUUGACGUUCGUACAACUGCCUUUACCCUCCAAGUUUGUUAUGUCCAGUCUUAUGACAAUCAAAGCACAUUAAUUUCUUUAUGCCAUUUUUUUGUUUCCAACCUUUCUCUUUUCUUACUUUGACAUCAUUCUGCCUGUUCAGUAAAAAAAUACUUUGUUCAUCUA
Molecule: non-coding RNA, 846 nt
Organism: Chiloscyllium plagiosum (whitespotted bambooshark)
Lineage: Eukaryota; Metazoa; Chordata; Chondrichthyes; Orectolobiformes; Hemiscylliidae
Source: RefSeq, a predicted model, not a curated record